Molecule: ribosomal RNA, 492 nt
Filed under: uncultured bacterium
Lineage: Bacteria
Description: partial 16S ribosomal RNA
Rfam family: Bacterial small subunit ribosomal RNA
Source: RNAcentral
AGUGAACGCUGGCGGUAGGCCUAACACAUGCAAGUCGAACGGCAGCACAGUAAGAGCUUGCUCUUACGGGUGGCGAGUGGCGGACGGGCGAGGAAUACAUCGGAAUCUACUUUUUCGUGGGGGAUAACGUAGGGAACCUUACGCUAAUAUCGCAUACGACCUACGGGUGAAAGCAGGGGAUCUUCGGACCUUGCGCGAUUGAAUGAGCCGAUGUCGGAUUAGCUAGUUGGCGGGGUAAAGGACCACCAAGGCGACGAUCCGUUGCUGGUCUGAGAGGAGGAUCGGCCACACUAGAACGUGAACACGGUCCCGACUCCUGAGGGACGCACCAGAGGGGAAUAUUGGACAGUGGGCGCAAGCCUGAUCCAGCCAUACCGCGUGGGUGAAGAAGGCCUUCGGGUUGUAAAGCCCUUUUGUUGGGAAAGAAAAGCAGCAGGUUAAUACCCCGCUGUUCUGACGGUACCCAAAGAAGAAGCACCGGCUAACUUCGUG